RNAcentral lists this ribosomal RNA (910 nucleotides) under Helotiales sp. WMM-2012f. RNAcentral describes it as "SSU rRNA". It matches the Rfam family "Eukaryotic small subunit ribosomal RNA", at positions 192 to 1107 of the family's 1831-position model. The record is from RNAcentral. Lineage: Eukaryota; Fungi; Ascomycota; Leotiomycetes; Helotiales.
UCGGAAGGGGUGUAUUUAUUAGAUAAAAAACCAAUGCCCUUCGGGGCUCCUUGGUGAUUCAUAAUAACUUAACGAAUCGCAUAGCCUUGUGCUGGCGAUGGUUCAUUCAAAUUUCUGCCCUAUCAACUUUCGAUUGUAUGGUAUUGGCUUACAAUGGUUUCAACGGGUAACGGGGAAUUAGGGUUCUAUUCCGGAGAGGGAGCCUGAGAAACGGCUACCACAUCCAAGGAAGGCAGCAGGCGCGCAAAUUACCCAAUCCCGACACGGGGAGGUAGUGACAAUAAAUACUGAUACAGGGCUCUUUUGGGUCUUGUAAUUGGAAUGAGUACAAUUUAAAUCCCUUAACGAGGAACAAUUGGAGGGCAAGUCUGGUGCCAGCAGCCGCGGUAAUUCCAGCUCCAAUAGCGUAUAUUAAAGUUGUUGCAGUUAAAAAGCUCGUAGUUGAACCUUGGGUUUGGUUGGUCGGUCCGCCUCACCGCGUGCACUGAUCCGACCGAAUCUUUCCUUCUGGGGAACCGUAUGCUCUUCACUGGGUGUACUGGGGAACCAGGACUUUUACUUUGAAAAAAUUAGAGUGUUCAAAGCAGGCCUAUGCUCGAAUACAUUAGCAUGGAAUAAUAGAAUAGGACGUGUGGUUCUAUUUUGUUGGUUUCUAGGACCGCCGUAAUGAUUAAUAGGGAUAGUCGGGGGCAUCAGUAUUCAAUUGUCAGAGGUGAAAUUCUUGGAUUUAUUGAAGACUAACUACUGCGAAAGCAUUUGCCAAGGAUGUUUUCAUUAAUCAGUGAACGAAAGUUAGGGGAUCGAAGACGAUCAGAUACCGUCGUAGUCUUAACCAUAAACUAUGCCGACUAGGGAUCGGGCGGUGUUAUCUUUUUGACCCGCUCGGCACCUUACGAGAAAUCAAAGUCUU